Molecule: ribosomal RNA, 497 nt
Filed under: Enterobacter hormaechei
Lineage: Bacteria; Pseudomonadati; Pseudomonadota; Gammaproteobacteria; Enterobacterales; Enterobacteriaceae
Description: bacterial SSU rRNA
Rfam family: Bacterial small subunit ribosomal RNA
Source: RNAcentral
AAAUUGAAGAGUUUGAUCAUGGCUCAGAUUGAACGCUGGCGGCAGGCCUAACACAUGCAAGUCGAACGGUAACAGGAAGCAGCUUGCUGCUUUGCUGACGAGUGGCGGACGGGUGAGUAAUGUCUGGGAAACUGCCUGAUGGAGGGGGAUAACUACUGGAAACGGUAGCUAAUACCGCAUAAUGUCGCAAGACCAAAGAGGGGGACCUUCGGGCCUCUUGCCAUCGGAUGUGCCCAGAUGGGAUUAGCUAGUAGGUGGGGUAACGGCUCACCUAGGCGACGAUCCCUAGCUGGUCUGAGAGGAUGACCAGCCACACUGGAACUGAGACACGGUCCAGACUCCUACGGGAGGCAGCAGUGGGGAAUAUUGCACAAUGGGCGCAAGCCUGAUGCAGCCAUGCCGCGUGUAUGAAGAAGGCCUUCGGGUUGUAAAGUACUUUCAGCGGGGAGGAAGGUGUUGAGGUUAAUAACCUCAGCAAUUGACGUUACCCGCAGAAG